CUACGGGGGGCUCCAGUGGGGAAUAUUGGACAAUGGGGGAAACCCUGAUCCAGCAAUGCCGCGUGUGUGAAGAAGGCCUGCGGGUUGUAAAGCACUUUCGGUUGGGAGGACUGCUUCUAGCACUAAUAUUGUUGGAAGUUGACGUUACCUUCAGAAGAAGCACCGGCUAACUCCGUGCCAGCAGCCGCGGUAAUACGGCGGGUGCAAGCGUUAAUCGGAAUUACGGGGCGUAAAGCGCGCGUAGGCGGCUAGAUCAGUCGGGUGUGAAAGCCCCGGGCUUAACCUGGGAACUGCAUCCGAUACUGUCUAGCUUGAGUACAGGAGAGGAGAGUGGAAUUCCACAUGUAGCGGUGAAAUGCGUAGAUAUGUGGAGGAACACCAAUGGCGAAGGCAGCUCUCUGGCCUGAUACUGACGCUGAGGUGCGAAAGCGUGGGGAGCAAACAGGAUUAGAUACCCCUGUAGUC
RNAcentral lists this ribosomal RNA (465 nucleotides) under uncultured bacterium. RNAcentral's name for it is "partial 16S ribosomal RNA". It matches the Rfam family "Bacterial small subunit ribosomal RNA", at positions 339 to 795 of the family's 1533-position model. The record is from RNAcentral.